RNAcentral lists this ribosomal RNA (1198 nucleotides) under uncultured Rhizaria. Its description in RNAcentral is "bacterial SSU rRNA". It matches the Rfam family "Eukaryotic small subunit ribosomal RNA", at positions 577 to 1804 of the family's 1831-position model. The record is from RNAcentral.
CGGUAAUCUCUAGCUCCAAUAGCAUAUACUAACGUUGUUGCAGUUAAAAAGCUCGUAGUUGGAUUUCCGGGCGGUGACGUUUAGGUGAAGCCUCGUUGCUACACUGAGCGUUCAUUGCUCAAAAUUUGCCACAACUCGUUAUGACUCGUUCAUUCGGAUCAGGCGACUAAUGACUCGUUUACUUUGAGAAAAUUAGAGUGUUCAAAGCAGGCAAUUGCCUUGAAUAUGUUAGCAUGGAAUAAUAACAUAGGACUUCAGUUCUAUUUGUUGGUUGUUCGAGAAUUGGAGUAAUGAUUGAUAGGGACGGUUGGGGGCAUCCGUAUUCCCAAGCGAGAGGUGAAAUUCUUGGACCUUGGGAAGACGAACAGAUGCGAAAGCGUUUGCCAAGGACGUUCUCUUUAAUCAAGAACGAAAGUUGGGGGAUCGAAGACGAUCAGAUACCGUCGUAGUCUCAACUAUAAACUAUGCCAGCUAGGGAUCGGCGGGAUCUUGUCACGGAUCCGUCGGCACCUUACGAGAAAUCAAAGCAUUUGGGUUCCGGGGGGAGUAUGGUCGCAAGGCUGAAACUUAAAGGAAUUGACGGAAGGGCACCACCAGGAGUGGAGCCUGUGGCUUAAUUUGACUCAACACGGGAAAACUUACCAGGUCCGGAUAUAGUAAGGAUUGACAGAUUGAGAGCUCUUUCUUGAUUCUAUGGGUGGUGGUGCAUGGCCGUUCUUAGUUGGUGGAGUGAUUUGUCUGGUUAAUUCCGUUAACGAACGAGACCUUAGCCUGCUAACUAGUCGCGGCGAUCUCGAUCGUCGUCGGCUUCUUAGAGGGACUUUGUGGUUCUAAACACAAGGAAGUUUGAGGCAAUAACAGGUCUGUGAUGCCCUUAGAUGUCCUGGGCCGCACGCGUGCUACACUGACGCCUACAGCGAGUACUUCCCAGCUCCGAGAGGCUGCUGGUAAUCAGCAAUAGGCGUCGUGAUGGGGAUAGAUCUUUGGAAUUAUGGAUCUUGAACGAGGAAUGCCUAGUAAGCGCAGGUCAUUAGCCUGCGUUGAUUAAGUCCCUGCCCUUUGUACACACCGCCCGUCGCUCCUACCGAUUUCGAGUGGUCCGGUGAAUCUUUCGGACUGCGCGCAGCUUCGUGCCGUGCCGCGGAAAGUCAGGUAAGUCUUAUCACUUAGAGGAAGGAGAAGUCGUAACAAGGUAACC